Molecule: unclassified non-coding RNA, 329 nt
Filed under: soil metagenome
Description: partial contains 5.8S ribosomal RNA, internal transcribed spacer 2, and large subunit ribosomal RNA
Rfam family: 5.8S ribosomal RNA (bases 1-120)
Source: RNAcentral
GAUGAAGAACGUAGCGAAAUGCGAUAAGUAGUGUGAAUUGCAGAAUUCAGUGAAUCAUCGAAUCUUUGAACGCACAUUGCGCCCCUUGGUAUCCCGAGGGGCAUGCCUGUUCGAGCGUCAUUUCACCACUCAAGCCUGGCUUGGUGUUGGGCGACGUCCCCUUUGGGGACGCGCCUCGAAACGCUCGGCGGCGUGGCACCGGCUUUAAGCGUAGCAGAAUCUUUCGCUUUGGAAGUCGGGGCCCCGUAUGCCGGAAGACCUACUCGCAAGGUUGACCUCGGAUCAGGCAGGGAUACCCGCUGAACUUAAGCAUAUCAAUAAGCGGAGGA